CUCUGUUUUUAUUCCCAAGGUUCAGAAGUAAAUUACCACAAAAAUGCAGAUGGAACCUGUAAUACUGGCCUCCACAUCAUUCAUCUGGUGGUUUGGGAGCCGCAGAUCAGCAUGUGAAAGACAGCAGUUAAAAUACAGGACCUGUUCCUAUCUCCUCUGCUCUGUGCUGGUGUAAAUCAAGACUAAGACUCGUGAACCCAAUGGAGUGUAAAAUUGGUACCCAUCGCCUGUCCUGGUGGCCGUGUGCCUCAGCUGAGAUGCUGCUCGGAGGACGCAGAGCGCUGGAGCAGAGCUGCCCUGCCCACCUGGAGCCUACACGUGGGAAUGCAAAUGAGCAUUUAGUCAUCUAAUGCUAUAACGGUAAGUAGUUUCUUGCUAGUGUGCUAGUUCAAAUGGAUUGGAGUUGAAACCAGAGACGUUUGUCAGUAGAACACCACAGUGCACCGUAUUACAAGAUUUGACAGAAAUGUUUUCUUUUCUGCUCAGUUGCAAGGAGUCAGGGCACGCAGGCAGUAGCACUUAGCUCGUCCUGG
This 533-nucleotide long non-coding RNA is filed under the name Numida meleagris (helmeted guineafowl). Its description in RNAcentral is "lncRNA (ENSNMEG00000004455.1)". The record is from RNAcentral. Lineage: Eukaryota; Metazoa; Chordata; Aves; Galliformes; Numididae.